CGUGAGUCACAGAACUGUCAUACACGUGUUUUAAAAAGGACACCGAUACCACAGAAGGACAACAUUCCAUAACUCACAAACAGAUAAUAUGUUUUUUUGAAUCAUUGGACGUUUUGCGAUAAAGCCGCGACAAGACUGUUUUAAUUGGAUAUACAGAUCAGGCAGUGGGACACAGACCAAUAUCACUGGAAUGUGAGUACAGCACAAGGUACCACAAGUUCAUGUCCAAGGGCGUAGUUUUCGGCCCUCGGAUGGUAGCCCAGGGUGGAGACGGGGAAGACAAAACUCGGGGGUGAAGUUUUCGACGACAGCAGCCAUGUUUAUGGAACAGAUCGAAAAGGACCUGUUGGCAGUUUUCUGAUUGGCCUAAGCAGUUGCAGAACGGCCGUCGUCAUCGCAGGGCUGGAUUCGUGUCUUGUUUUCACCCUGGGAAGCUUGUAAUCAGAUAUGAGGAUACUCUUUGUGACGUUUGGCUGUAUUCUAGAAUGGGAUUUUCAAUCAUCAUGACCUUCAUGCCUGACUUCUUCAACUUCAGUGGCCCAACACCACAAGAGUCAGCCAUGGCUAUGUCAGUUACAGGAAUAGGAAGUCUUAUAGCACGUGUUCUUGUAGGUGUUCUGACAAACGAUCAUCGCAUCGGAUCAGUGCUUGUGCUGGCAGGAAACUGCGGGCUAUCAGCCAUCCUAACUCUAAUUCUUCCAUUCAUUGUUCACUCGACUGAAGGACGAUACAUCUACUCCAUCUGCAUUGUUCAAGUAAGAAAUCUGACCAACUCCAACUACGCAGCGUUUGUUUGCAGCACAUGAACAGACGGAACUGCUCAGACCAGCACAGGAUAAAAAGGUAAUAUUAAAUUAGGUGAGUUAAAUGGUUAUAAUCUCUAUCUUGCGUUGCAUUGAAAUAAUACAGUAUGUUUAAAAUGUUAUAUUAAGUAAACUAAAUGUAUGUUAUCUAAUAUAAAUGUUGAUUAUGUCUAAUUAUUUAAAUCUGCAUAAGAUAAGCUAAACAACUAAACUUUAUCACUAGAAUACAUUCUAUCACUUCAAUUAAAUAUGUGUGAAAGUGUUUACUUCAAGAAUGUUUUAAAAAGCUUUAUAAUGUACCGAUUCAGAGGUGAUACAUGCGAAUCAUUGUAAAUAAAAUGUGUGUAUUACUUAAUGUUAAAUAGUUUUUUAGUUUAUGCAUUAUAUAUUCAGAUCAUCUAUGGUGUUGCCAUACGUGUGGCAUUUGGGAUACACACCCUUGUAUCAUCCAAAGGGGUGUCUGAUAUCUUAGAUCCUUGAUCUUUGGCAUCUGCAAUAAGACCUCAACCCGUAGCAUGUGUUUGUUGAUUCGUAAAAGACAUACACUAAACUGCUACAAAAGGAUAAGCGUGGUGAAUUGAAGUCAGUUUUAACUAACUGAAUAUAUAUCUGGACUUACGUUGAAUGCUCUGGUUUUGCCAUCAGUGUCCCGUUCGAAGCAAAUUUUGUGGCAUUCUUUCGUGAUCGGUGUUUGUUCAUGAAUAAACAUACACGUCUGCACGACCAGAUCGCUCAAAGUGAACAGUUCCGAUACAAACCAUUUACAAAAUCCGUGGAAGUGGGCAUGACUUCUGAUUUUGUGGCCCAGAACAAUCCAAAUGCGAACAAUAACAUUCCCUAGCGUAAAACGCUGUGAGUAGAUCACGGUUGUCUUUUCUUAUUCCGAUGGUGACCUUGACCUUCGUUCGAAGCUGUCACUGACAUGCAAGCAGACUUCGGUUUGUUGAUUUUGACGUUUUCAGAAUCGGGUCGUACAGUUAACAUGAACAUCUUUGGCGAGCACUCUGAUUUCCCUCUUCCAUAACGGUACGGACAGGACAUAUAUUCAGCUGAUAGAUCAAGGAAACCGCAAAAAUUUAAUUGCACAGCCGGGAACCCCGGCGGUGCGAGUGACCGCACGGUGCCAAUUGACUUUUAAAAUUUUCUUAUAUGUGUCAUGCGUACGAACAACAAUGAGCUUGAAUUACCAUAAGUUGAAUAAAUUCUUAAAAUAGGAUCUUGAGCGUCGAAGCUGUCAUGUUUGCACACACAACAGCAAGAACAUGUUGUUAAUGCGUAUGCAUAGAAAUGUCAACAAUGCCCGUAUUUCGGCAUAUAUCAAUAUUCAUGCGCAACCAGAUUUGCAACUGGUUUUAGUUUGAUCUGUCAACGAAAGAAAGUUUUUAUGUUUUUACACAUAAAUACAUAUUUUGACAUGGGUAAUAAACAAAAUACCACACUAA
Molecule: long non-coding RNA, 2245 nt
Organism: Haliotis rufescens (red abalone)
Lineage: Eukaryota; Metazoa; Mollusca; Gastropoda; Lepetellida; Haliotidae
Exons: 6
Source: RefSeq, a predicted model, not a curated record